AGAUUAAGUUAUUAAGGGCGCACGGUGGAUGCCUUGGCACUAGAAGCCGAUGAAGGACGUUACUAACGACGAUAUGCUUUGGGUAGCUGUAAGUAAGCGUUGAUCCAGAGAUUUCCGAAUGGGGGAACCCAGCAUGAGUUAUGUCAUGUUAUCGACAUGUGAAUUCAUAGCAUGUCAGAAGGCAGACCCGGAGAACUGAAACAUCUUAGUACCCGGAGGAAGAGAAAGAAAAAUCGAUUCCCUGAGUAGCGGCGAGCGAAACGGGAAGAGCCCAAACCAACAAGCUUGCUUGUUGGGGUUGUAGGACACUCUAUACGGAGUUACAAAAGAACAUGUUAGACGAAUCAUCUGGAAAGAUGAAUCAAAGAAGGUAAUAAUCCUGUAGUCGAAAACAUAUUCUCUCUUGAGUGGAUCCUGAGUACGACGGAGCACGUGAAAUUCCGUCGGAAUCUGGGAGGACCAUCUCCUAAGGCUAAAUACUCUCUAGUGACCGAUAGUGAACCAGUACCGUGAGGGAAAGGUGAAAAGUACCCCGGAAGGGGAGUGAAAGAGAACUUGAAACCGUGUGCUUACAAGUAGUCAGAGCCCGUUAAUGGGUGAUGGCGUGCCUUUUGUAGAAUGAACCGGCGAGUUACGAUCUGAUGCAAGGUUAAGCAGCAAAUGUGGAGCCGCAGCGAAAGCGAGUCUGAAUAGGGCGUUGAGUAUUUGGUCGUAGACCCGAAACCAGGUGAUCUACCCUUGGUCAGGUUGAAGUUCAGGUAACACUGAAUGGAGGACCGAACCGACUUACGUUGAAAAGUGAGCGGAUGAACUGAGGGUAGCGGAGAAAUUCCAAUCGAACUUGGAGAUAGCUGGUUCUCUCCGAAAUAGCUUUAGGGCUAGCCUCAAGUGAUGAUUAUUGGAGGUAGAGCACUGUUUGGACGAGGGGCCCCUCUCGGGUUACCGAAUUCAGACAAACUCCGAAUGCCAAUUAAUUUAACUUGGGAGUCAGAACAUGGGUGAUAAGGUCCGUGUUCGAAAGGGAAACAGCCCAGACCACCAGCUAAGGUCCCAAAAUAUAUGUUAAGUGGAAAAGGAUGUGGCGUUGCCCAGACAACUAGGAUGUUGGCUUAGAAGCAGCCAUCAUUUAAAGAGUGCGUAAUAGCUCACUAGUCGAGUGACACUGCGCCGAAAAUGUACCGGGGCUAAACAUAUUACCGAAGCUGUGGAUUGUCCUUUGGACAAUGGUAGGAGAGCGUUCUAAGGGCGUCGAAGCAUGAUCGCAAGGACAUGUGGAGCGCUUAGAAGUGAGAAUGCCGGUGUGAGUAGCGAAAGACGGGUGAGAAUCCCGUCCACCGAUUGACUAAGGUUUCCAGAGGAAGGCUCGUCCGCUCUGGGUUAGUCGGGUCCUAAGCUGAGGCCGACAGGCGUAGGCGAUGGAUAACAGGUUGAUAUUCCUGUACCACCUAGUAUCGUUUUAAUCGAUGGGGGGACGCAGUAGGAUAGGCGAAGCGUGCUGUUGGAGUGCACGUCCAAGCAGUAAGGCUGAGUGUUAGGCAAAUCCGGCACUCAUAAGGCUGAGCUGUGAUGGGGAGAGGAAAUUGUUUCCUCGAGUCGUUGAUUUCACACUGCCGAGAAAAGCCUCUAGAUAGAUAACAGGUGCCCGUACCGCAAACCGACACAGGUAGUCAAGAUGAGAAUUCUAAGGUGAGCGAGCGAACUCUCGUUAAGGAACUCGGCAAAAUGACCCCGUAACUUCGGGAGAAGGGGUGCUCUUUAGGGUUCACGCCCAGAAGAGCCGCAGUGAAUAGGCCCAAGCGACUGUUUAUCAAAAACACAGGUCUCUGCUAAACCGUAAGGUGAUGUAUAGGGGCUGACGCCUGCCCGGUGCUGGAAGGUUAAGAGGAGUGGUUAGCUUCUGCGAAGCUACGAAUCGAAGCCCCAGUAAACGGCGGCCGUAACUAUAACGGUCCUAAGGUAGCGAAAUUCCUUGUCGGGUAAGUUCCGACCCGCACGAAAGGCGUAACGAUUUGGGCACUGUCUCAACGAGAGACUCGGUGAAAUCAUAGUACCUGUGAAGAUGCAGGUUACCCGCGACAGGACGGAAAGACCCCGUGGAGCUUUACUGUAGCCUGAUAUUGAAAUUCGGCACAGCUUGUACAGGAUAGGUAGGAGCCUUUGAAACGUGAGCGCUAGCUUACGUGGAGGCGUUGGUGGGAUACUACCCUAGCUGUGUUGGCUUUCUAACCCGCACCACUUAUCGUGGUGGGAGACAGUGUCAGGCGGGCAGUUUGACUGGGGCGGUCGCCUCCUAAAAGGUAACGGAGGCGCUCAAAGGUUCCCUCAGAAUGGUUGGAAAUCAUUCAUAGAGUGUAAAGGCAUAAGGGAGCUUGACUGCGAGACCUACAAGUCGAGCAGGGUCGAAAGACGGACUUAGUGAUCCGGUGGUUCCGCAUGGAAGGGCCAUCGCUCAACGGAUAAAAGCUACCCCGGGGAUAACAGGCUUAUCUCCCCCAAGAGUUCACAUCGACGGGGAGGUUUGGCACCUCGAUGUCGGCUCAUCGCAUCCUGGGGCUGUAGUCGGUCCCAAGGGUUGGGCUGUUCGCCCAUUAAAGCGGUACGCGAGCUGGGUUCAGAACGUCGUGAGACAGUUCGGUCCCUAUCCGUCGUGGGCGUAGGAAAUUUGAGAGGAGCUGUCCUUAGUACGAGAGGACCGGGAUGGACAUACCUCUGGUGUACCAGUUGUCGUGCCAACGGCAUAGCUGGGUAGCUAUGUAUGGACGGGAUAAGUGCUGAAAGCAUCUAAGCAUGAAGCCCCCCUCAAGAUGAGAUUUCCCAACUUCGGUUAUAAGAUCCCUCGAAGAUGACGAGGUUAAUAGGUUCGAGGUGGAAGCGUGGUGACACGUGGAGCUGACGAAUACUAAUCGAUCGAAGACUUAAUCAAUUU
RNAcentral lists this ribosomal RNA (2926 nucleotides) under Staphylococcus epidermidis. RNAcentral describes it as "bacterial LSU rRNA". It matches the Rfam family "Bacterial large subunit ribosomal RNA". The record is from RNAcentral. Lineage: Bacteria; Bacillati; Bacillota; Bacilli; Caryophanales; Staphylococcaceae. RNAcentral also lists the same sequence under 3 other names.